Phrynosoma platyrhinos (Desert horned lizard) is the source of this 71-nucleotide non-coding RNA. NCBI's taxonomy places the organism in Eukaryota, Metazoa, Chordata, Lepidosauria, Squamata, Phrynosomatidae. The record is from the annotation of a GenBank genome assembly.
GCCAGUGUGGUUUAGUGGUUUGAGUAUUGGACUACAACUCUGGAAACCAGAGUUGAAUCCCUGCUCAGCCA